AGUGAACGUUGGCGGCGUGGAUUAGGCAUGCAAGUCGAGCGAGAACCGUAGCAAUACGGGGACAGCGACGAAAGGGACAGUAAUGUGUAGGUACCUACCCCGAGGUCUGGGAUAGCUGCGGGAAACUGCAGGUAAUACCGGAUAAUGUCUUCGGACCAAAGGUGUGAUUCCACCUUGGGAGGGGCCUGCAUCCUAUUAGCUAGUUGGCGGGGUAAUGGCCCACCAAGGCAACGAUGGGUAGCGGGUGUGAGAGCACGACCCGCGUCAUUGGGACUGAGAUACUGCCCAGACACCUACGGGUGGCUGCAGUCGAGGAUCUUCGGCAAUGGGCGAAAGCCUGACCGAGCGACGCCGCGUGCGGGAUGAAGGCCUUCGGGUUGUAAACCGCUGUCGUAGAGGAGGAAAUGCAGGGGGGUUCUCCCUUCUGUUUGACCUAUUCUAGGAGGAAGGACGGGCUAAGUUCGUGCCAGCAGCCGCAGUAA
This 482-nucleotide ribosomal RNA is filed under the name uncultured bacterium. RNAcentral describes it as "partial 16S ribosomal RNA". It matches the Rfam family "Bacterial small subunit ribosomal RNA", at positions 29 to 523 of the family's 1533-position model. The record is from RNAcentral.